Molecule: long non-coding RNA, 453 nt
Organism: Leptinotarsa decemlineata (Colorado potato beetle)
Lineage: Eukaryota; Metazoa; Arthropoda; Insecta; Coleoptera; Chrysomelidae
Source: RefSeq, a predicted model, not a curated record
GAUUGAUUCCAGAUCACCAACUCAGUUGGCUAAGUAAUGUCAAUUUCCUUGUAAUACAUGAGUCAGUAAGAUAUUUGCAAAAUGAUUGAGUUGUUUCUGGGAGCUGCUGCAUUAGCCACUAUUUUCUAUUAUUUUUACAUUAAACCCAUGAACUACUGGGGAGAGAGAGGUGUCAAACAAGAAGGUCAUCCAUUAUGGCUAUUUGUAGACAGCAGGAAAUCAAAAUAUGGAAAAGAGAGCGUUUUCGAUUCAGUUGUCAGGUCUUAUAACCAAUUUCAGGACACAAGAUAUCACGGAAUAUAUGAUUCCACUCGACCUAUUUUAAUAAUAAAAGAUCCAGAACUACUAAAACAAAUCACUGUUAAAGAUUUUGAUCACUUCACCGAUCACAGAAGCCAUAUUGAAUUGGAUGUUGAUCCACUAUGGAGCAGAAAUUUAUUUUUUUCAAAAGGU